RNAcentral lists this ribosomal RNA (510 nucleotides) under Salmonella enterica. RNAcentral describes it as "partial 23S ribosomal RNA". It matches the Rfam family "Bacterial large subunit ribosomal RNA", at positions 711 to 1220 of the family's 2925-position model. The record is from RNAcentral. RNAcentral also lists the same sequence under 3 other names. Lineage: Bacteria; Pseudomonadati; Pseudomonadota; Gammaproteobacteria; Enterobacterales; Enterobacteriaceae.
AGACCCGAAACCCGGUGAUCUAGCCAUGGGCAGGUUGAAGGUUGGGUAACACUAACUGGAGGACCGAACCGACUAAUGUUGAAAAAUUAGCGGAUGACCUGUGGCUGGGGGUGAAAGGCCAAUCAAACCGGGAGAUAGCUGGUUCUCCCCGAAAGCUAUUUAGGUAGCGCCUCGUGAAUUCAUCUCCGGGGGUAGAGCACUGUUUCGGCUAGGGGGCCAUCCCGGCUUACCAACCCGAUGCAAACUGCGAAUACCGGAGAAUGUUAUCACGGGAGACACACGGCGGGUGCUAACGUCCGUCGUGAAGAGGGAAACAACCCAGACCGCCAGCUAAGGUCCCAAAGUCAUGGUUAAGUGGGAAACGAUGUGGGAAGGCCCAGACAGCCAGGAUGUUGGCUUAGAAGCAGCCAUCAUUUAAAGAAAGCGUAAUAGCUCACUGGUCGAGUCGGCCUGCGCGGAAGAUGUAACGGGGCUAAACCAUGCACCGAAGCUGCGGCAGCGACGCUUAUG